CGCGCAGGCGGGAAAUUAAGUCAGUGGUGAAAUCCUGCAGCUUAACUGUAGAAUUGCCAUUGAUACUGAUUUUCUUGAGUGCAGUUGAGGUGGGCGGAAUGUGUAAUGUAGCGGUGAAAUGCUUAGAUAUUACACAGAACACCGAUUGCGUAGGCAGCUCACUAAACUGUUACUGACGCUCAGGCACGAAAGCGUGGGGAGCGAACAGGAUUAGAUACCCUGGUAGUCC
RNAcentral lists this ribosomal RNA (229 nucleotides) under uncultured bacterium. Its description in RNAcentral is "partial 16S ribosomal RNA". It matches the Rfam family "Bacterial small subunit ribosomal RNA", at positions 568 to 796 of the family's 1533-position model. The record is from RNAcentral.